UACGGGGGGAGCAAGCGUUGUUCGGAUUUACUGGGCGUAAAGGGCGCGUAGGCGGCCACCGCAAGUCGGUUGGGAAAUCUCUGGGCUUAACCCAGAAAGGUCAACCGAUACUGCGGGGCUAGAGUGCAGAAGGGGCAACUGGAAUUCUCGGUGUAGCGGUGAAAUGCGUAGAUAUUGGGAAGAACACCAGUGGCGAAAGCGGACUUCUGGGUUGUUACUGACGCUGAGGUGCGAAAGCGUGGGGAGCAAACAGG
Molecule: ribosomal RNA, 254 nt
Filed under: uncultured bacterium
Lineage: Bacteria
Description: partial 16S ribosomal RNA
Rfam family: Bacterial small subunit ribosomal RNA
Source: RNAcentral